GACGAACGCUGGCGGCGUGCUUAACACAUGCAAGUCGAGGGGUAACAUGGUAGCAAUACUGAUGACGACCGGCAAACGGGUGCGGAACACGUACAGAACCUUCCUUUAAGCGGGGGAUAGCCCAUAGAAAUGUGGAUUAAUACCCAUAGUAAUAUUUAAUGGCAUCAUUAGAUAUUUAAAGAUUUAUCACUUAAAGAUGGCUGUGCGGCUGAUUAGGUAGUUGGUGCGGGUAACGGCCCACCAAGCCAUCGAUCAGUAACUGGUGUGAGAGCACGACCAGUCACACGGGCACUGAGACACGGGCCCGACUCCUACGGGAGGCAGCAGUAAGGAAUAUUGGUCAAUGGACGCAAGUCUGAACCAGCCAUGCCGCGUGAAGGAUGAAGGCCCUCUGGGUUGUAAACUUCUUUUAUCUGGGAAGAAAUGCCUUGUUUUUUAACGGGUUUGCGGUACCAGAGGAAUAAGCACCGGCUAACUCCGUGCCAGCCG
This 489-nucleotide ribosomal RNA is filed under the name uncultured bacterium. RNAcentral describes it as "bacterial SSU rRNA". It matches the Rfam family "Bacterial small subunit ribosomal RNA", at positions 28 to 514 of the family's 1533-position model. The record is from RNAcentral.